UUUUUUUUAAAACCAAAGCCUGUUGAAACGCAUGUCUUUAGCCNCACGGGGCGAGUAAAAAGUUUAAUACAACUUUCAACAACGGAUCUCUUGGCUUUCGCAUCGAUGAAGGACGCCGCGAAAGUGCGAAACGUAAUGUGAAUUGCAGAAUUCAGUGAAUCAUCGAAUCUUUGAACGCAUCUUGCGCUCCUUGGCAUUCCGAGGAGCAUGCCUGUUUGAGUGUCGUGAAAUCAUCCCUCGACCCGACUCCUCGUUAGAGUUUGGGUUGGAUUUGGACGUCUGCGGGGGCGGUCGCCUCUCGCUCGUCUUUAAAUGCAUCAGCUUGGCCCUCGGGUCGGACCGAUCGACGGUGUGAUAAUAACACAUUGAACGCCGUUUUGGCCCGACCUUCGCGUGGGGUCGCUUCUAAUCCCCGGUCCCUUGGGACCGAUUCGACCAUUUGACCUCAAAUCAGGUAGGACUACCCGCUGAACUUAAGCAUAUCAAUAAGCGGAGGAAAAGAAACUAAC
This 509-nucleotide ribosomal RNA is filed under the name Ramaria sp. RNAcentral's name for it is "eukaryotic LSU rRNA". The stretch from base 71 to 225 matches the Rfam family "5.8S ribosomal RNA". Lineage: Eukaryota; Fungi; Basidiomycota; Agaricomycetes; Gomphales; Gomphaceae. The record is from RNAcentral.